GAUGAACGCUAGCGGCAGGCUUAACACAUGCAAGUCGAGGGGCAGCGGGGUGUAGCAAUACAUCGCCGGCGACCGGCGCACGGGUGCGUAACACGUAUGGAACUUGCCCUGCACUGGGGGAUAGCCCGGAGAAAUCCGGAUUAAUACCCCAUAACAUACGAGGAGGCAUCUCCUUGUUUUGAAAGAAUUUCGGUGCAGGAUAGGCAUGCGUCCGAUUAGCUAGUUGGUGAGGUAAUGGCUCACCAAGGCGACGAUCGGUAGGGGGCCUGAGAGGGUUAUCCCCCACACUGGUACUGAGACACGGACCAGACUCCUACGGGAGGCAGCAGUGAGGAAUAUUGCGCAAUGGAGGCAACUCUGACGCAGCCAUGCCGCGUGCAGGAAGACGGCCCUACGGGUUGUAAACUGCUUUUAUUCGGGAAGAAACCCCUCGACGUGUCGAGGGUUGACGGUACCGAAGGAAUAAGCACCGGCUAACUCCGUG
This 484-nucleotide ribosomal RNA is filed under the name uncultured organism. RNAcentral describes it as "bacterial SSU rRNA". It matches the Rfam family "Bacterial small subunit ribosomal RNA", at positions 28 to 507 of the family's 1533-position model. The record is from RNAcentral.